This 801-nucleotide ribosomal RNA is filed under the name uncultured bacterium. RNAcentral's name for it is "bacterial SSU rRNA". It matches the Rfam family "Bacterial small subunit ribosomal RNA", at positions 65 to 844 of the family's 1533-position model. The record is from RNAcentral.
AAUUUCAGUGUAGCAAUAUAUUGAAGUUGGAGUAGCGCAAGGGUGCGUAACACGUGGGUAAUUUGCCCUGAAGUUGGGGAUAACUCGCUGAAAGGCGAGCUAAUACCGGAUGUGAAGUUCGGGUGGCAUCACCUGACCUUUAAAGCUGGGGAUCGUAAGACCUGGCGCUUCAGGAUAAGCCCGCGGCCUAUCAGCUAGUUGGUGAGGUAACGGCUCACCAAGGCUAAGACGGGUAGCUGGUCUGAGAGGACGACCAGCCACACUGGAACUGAGACACGGUCCAGACACCUACGGGUGGCAGCAGUCGAGAAUUUUUCUCAAUGGGCGCAAGCCUGAAGGAGCGACGCCGCGUGGGGGAUGAAGGGUUUCGAUCCGUAAACCCCUGUCAUUUGUGAACAAUGGUUAGUGUUUAAGAGAUGCUGACUUGAUAGUAAUGAAAGAGGAAGGGACGGCUAACUCUGUGCCAGCAGCCGCGGUAAUACAGAGGUCCCGAGCGUUGUUCGGAUUCACUGGGCGUAAAGGGUGCGUAGGUGGCUUGAAAAGUUUGAUGUGAAAGCUCAGGGCUUAACCCUGAAAUGGCAUUGAAUACUGUCGAGCUGGAGGUUUGGAGGGGGGACUGGAAUUCUUGGUGUAGCAGUGAAAUGCGUAGAUAUCAAGAGGAACACCAGUGGCGAAGGCGAGUCCCUGGACAACACCUGACACUGAGGCACGAAAGCUAGGGGAGCAAACAGGAUUAGAUACCCUGGUAGUCCUAGCCCUAAACGGUGCACGUUUGCUGUAAAAGGAAUCGACCCCUUUUGU